GUCCACGCCGUAACGAUGGAUGCUAGCCGUCGGCCAGCUUGCUGGUCGGUGGCGCAGCUAACGCUUAAGCAUCCCGCCUGGGAGUACGGCCGCAAGGUUAAACUCAAAGGAAUUGACGGGGCCCGCACAAGCGGUGGAGCAUGUGGUUUAAUUCGACGCAACGCGAAGAACCUUACCAGCCCUUGACAUGUACCGGAAUGCCCGCAGAGACGUGGGCAGCCGCAAGGUCGGUACACAGGUGUUGCAUGGCUGUCGU
Molecule: ribosomal RNA, 256 nt
Filed under: uncultured bacterium
Lineage: Bacteria
Description: partial 16S ribosomal RNA
Rfam family: Bacterial small subunit ribosomal RNA
Source: RNAcentral